This 433-nucleotide long non-coding RNA is filed under the name Marmota monax (woodchuck). The record is from RNAcentral. Lineage: Eukaryota; Metazoa; Chordata; Mammalia; Rodentia; Sciuridae.
UAACGGUAUGUCUUUACAAUCUGUGGUCCACUAUGACACAAAAAUCAUUUAGCUCAAAUAAUCUAAAUUUAUUAAAUAGAUUUCAGCAGAAUCAAACAGAAUUCCUGCUGUCCAACACAAUUCAGACUGGGAAGCUGUCACGGAUGUUGUUUCUUUAUCUAGAGUGUUCCCCAAUAACAUGGCAACUCACUAAAACAGCAAUUGUAUUUGUUGCUGAUGUCUGGAGGAUUUUGAUGUCCUAUGAUUUAGAUCAACACAAAUAAGCAUGGUAACGAAUUAUACAUUCUUGGAAGUUUCAAUAUUAGCAGCUGGGCUUCAGUAUGAGGAUUUCUAAACCUAGCAAAAGUAUCCUAAAACAGCUAGUGGAAGGGGGAGAGUUGUGGGUAAGAACCAGAAGCUAAUAUGAUUGCCAUUCAGGACUAUUUUGUUGUAG